UACAGGGGGUGCAAGCGUUGUUCGGAAUUACUGGGCGUAAAGGGAGCGUAGGCGGAACUACAAGACAGAGGUCAAAUCUCCGGGCUCAACCUGGAACUUGCCUUUGUGACUGUGGUUCUUGAGUAUGGUAGAGGUCAGUGGAAUUUCCGGUGUAGCGGUGGAAUGCGUAGAGAUCGGAAAGAACACCAGAGGCGAAGGCGACUGACUGGACCAAUACUGACGCUGAGGCUCGAAAGUGCGGGGAGCAAACAGG
RNAcentral lists this ribosomal RNA (253 nucleotides) under uncultured bacterium. RNAcentral's name for it is "partial 16S ribosomal RNA". It matches the Rfam family "Bacterial small subunit ribosomal RNA", at positions 524 to 776 of the family's 1533-position model. The record is from RNAcentral.